AACGCUAGCUACAGGCUUAACACAUGCAAGUCGAGGGGCAGCAUGUUGGUUGCUUGCAACCAAUGAUGGCGACCGGCGCACGGGUGAGUAACGCGUAUCCAACCUUCCCCUUACUCGGGUCCAGCCCGUUGAAAGACGGAUUAAUCCCCGAUGCUCUCAUAUACUGGCAUCAGUUUAUGAGCAAAGAUUUAUCGGUAAGGGAUGGGGAUGCGUAUGAUUAGCUUGUUGGUGUGGUAACGGCUCACCAAGGCUACGAUCAUUAGGGGUUCUGAGAGGAAGGUCCCCCACACUGGAACUGAGACACGGUCCAGACUCCUACGGGAGGCAGCAGUGAGGAAUAUUGGUCAAUGGAGGCAACUCUGAACCAGCCAAGUAGCGUGCAGGAUGACGGCCCUAUGGGUUGUAAACUGCUUUUAUGCGGGGAUAAACGAGCCUACGUGUAGGUUUUUGCAGGUACCGCAUGAAUAAGGACCGGCUAAUUCCGUGCCAGCAGCCGCGGUAAUACGGAAGGUCCGGGCGUUAUCCGGAUUUAUUGGGUUUAAAGGGAGCGUAGGUGGACAGUUAAGUCAGUUGUGAAAGUUUGCGGCUCAACCGUAAAAUUGCAGUUGAUACUGGCUGUCUUGAGUACAGUAGAGGUGGGCGGAAUUCGUGGUGUAGCGGUGAAAUGCUUAGAUAUCACGAAGAACUCCGAUUG
RNAcentral lists this ribosomal RNA (694 nucleotides) under uncultured bacterium. Its description in RNAcentral is "bacterial SSU rRNA". It matches the Rfam family "Bacterial small subunit ribosomal RNA", at positions 32 to 715 of the family's 1533-position model. The record is from RNAcentral.